CAUCAGCUCUUUAGUCCAAUCUGAGGUACUAGAAGAUGCCAUAACUAAAAGAAAUGUACACAGAUAAAGACUGCACUUGAAUCAAGACCUGAUGCCUUGCCUUGGUCAAAGCUACUCUGAAAUGGUACAGAUUACCUUGAUGCUUCCGAAAGGCAGCUCAGUGCAGGACACCACUUUCUAAGAGUCUCUGUUAUGCUGCUCAUCGGUCAUGCUGAGAAAAAUCGAUCUGUUUAUGCACUGCCCUUUUGCUCUUAACCUAGUCUGAAGGAAGGAAAAACAUGCAACCUAUGGAUUACUAGCUAAUAAUAAUUUUUUUUUUUUUUUUUUUUUAAAGCUAACAAAAGGCUGAAAUAAAAAUGCUAUCUCUUUCUGAAUUAUACUGGAA
RNAcentral lists this long non-coding RNA (385 nucleotides) under Anas platyrhynchos platyrhynchos (common mallard). Its description in RNAcentral is "lncRNA (ENSAPLG00000024384.1)". The record is from RNAcentral. Lineage: Eukaryota; Metazoa; Chordata; Aves; Anseriformes; Anatidae.